GACGAACGCUGGCGGCGUGCCUAAUACAUGCAAGUAGAACGCUGAAGGAAGGAGCUUGCUCUUUCUGGAUGAGUUGCGAACGGGUGAGUAACGCGUAGGUAACCUGCCUGGUAGCGAGGGAUAACUAUUGGAAACGAUAGCUAAUACCGCAUAAAAUUGAUUAUUGCAUGAUAGUCAAUUAAAAGGUGCAACUGCACCACUACCAGAUGGACCUGCGUUGUAUUAGCUAGUUGGUGGGGUAACGGCUCACCAAGGCGACGAUACAUAGCCGACCUGAGAGGGUGAUCGGCCACACUGGGACUGAGACACGGCCCAGACUCCUACGGGAGGCAGCAGUAGGGAAUCUUCGGCAAUGGACGGAAGUCUGACCGAGCAACGCCGCGUGAGUGAAGAAGGUUUUCGGAUCGUAAAGCUCUGUUGCAAGAGAAGAACGAGUGUGAGAGUGGAAAGUUCACACUGUGACGGUAUCUUACCAGAAAGGGACGGCUAACUACGUG
Molecule: ribosomal RNA, 497 nt
Filed under: uncultured bacterium
Lineage: Bacteria
Description: partial 16S ribosomal RNA
Rfam family: Bacterial small subunit ribosomal RNA
Source: RNAcentral